AAUACACCACACACAUGAGGUCAGAUAUGACAUGAUUCCAUUUCUGCAAAAUAUACAAGAAUUGGUGCGGGCUGCCGGGCUGCCCCGAGCCGGCGGGGAGCCGGUCCGCUCCAGGUGGCGGGCAGCGGGAGCGAGGGAGCGGA
RNAcentral lists this small RNA (143 nucleotides) under Marmota monax (woodchuck). The record is from RNAcentral. Lineage: Eukaryota; Metazoa; Chordata; Mammalia; Rodentia; Sciuridae.